This 303-nucleotide long non-coding RNA is filed under the name Aquilegia coerulea. RNAcentral's name for it is "long non-coding RNA (ACOE_LNC000035)". Lineage: Eukaryota; Viridiplantae; Streptophyta; Magnoliopsida; Ranunculales; Ranunculaceae. The record is from RNAcentral.
UAUGUGAUUGAAAAUCACCAACCUGAAUCUCCAAAAUCACAGACAGUUAUGUUGGUGCAAGCUAACUUGUUUAAUAUCAACUUGUGCGAGCGAAUUUACCUAGAAAUAAACAAACAAACAAACAAACAAUUAGUAACAACAAAAUAAAAUAGUUUUUUUUUUUUUAUGAAAUGGGUAUUUUGAUUGUUAGUUAUGCUUUUUUGGGAUUUUGAUGAAAUGGGUAUUUUGUUUAGGUUUGGGAAAUUGGAUUUGAAGUGAAUCUACAGCAACAGUUUGUCAAUUUAGUGAGUAAUUUUGCUGUUU